RNAcentral lists this ribosomal RNA (680 nucleotides) under Microbacterium sp. RNAcentral's name for it is "bacterial SSU rRNA". It matches the Rfam family "Bacterial small subunit ribosomal RNA", at positions 115 to 809 of the family's 1533-position model. The record is from RNAcentral. Lineage: Bacteria; Bacillati; Actinomycetota; Actinomycetes; Micrococcales; Microbacteriaceae.
ACGUGAGCAACCUGCCCCUGACUCUGGGAUAAGCGCUGGAAACGGCGUCUAAUACUGGAUACGAGUAGCGGCCGCAUGGUCAGUUACUGGAAAGAAUUUUGGUUGGGGAUGGGCUCGCGGCCUAUCAGCUUGUUGGUGAGGUAAUGGCUCACCAAGGCGUCGACGGGUAGCCGGCCUGAGAGGGUGACCGGCCACACUGGGACUGAGACACGGCCCAGACUCCUACGGGAGGCAGCAGUGGGGAAUAUUGCACAAUGGGCGCAAGCCUGAUGCAGCAACGCCGCGUGAGGGAUGACGGCCUUCGGGUUGUAAACCUCUUUUAGCAGGGAAGAAGCGAAAGUGACGGUACCUGCAGAAAAAGCACCGGCUAACUACGUGCCAGCAGCCGCGGUAAUACGUAGGGUGCAAGCGUUAUCCGGAAUUAUUGGGCGUAAAGAGCUCGUAGGCGGUUUGUCGCGUCUGCUGUGAAAUCCGGAGGCUCAACCUCCGGCCUGCAGUGGGUACGGGCAGACUAGAGUGCGGUAGGGGAGAUUGGAAUUCCUGGUGUAGCGGUGGAAUGCGCAGAUAUCAGGAGGAACACCGAUGGCGAAGGCAGAUCUCUGGGCCGUUACUGACGCUGAGGAGCGAAAGGGUGGGGAGCAAACAGGCUUAGAUACCCUGGUAGUCCACCCCGUAAACGU